GUGAGAAUGUUGGCAUGAGUAGCGAGAUGUGGGUGGGAAUCCCACAGGCCGUAAACCCAAGGUUUCCAGGGGAAGGUUCGUCCACCCUGGGUUAGUCGGGACCUAAGCUGAGGCCGAAAGGCGUAGGUGAUGGACAACAGGUUGAUAUUCCUGUACUACCGAUAACCGUUUGAGAGAAGGGAUGACACAGUAGGAUAAGCUAAGCACACUG
RNAcentral lists this ribosomal RNA (211 nucleotides) under Clostridioides difficile. RNAcentral's name for it is "partial 23S ribosomal RNA". It matches the Rfam family "Bacterial large subunit ribosomal RNA", at positions 1288 to 1497 of the family's 2925-position model. The record is from RNAcentral. Lineage: Bacteria; Bacillati; Bacillota; Clostridia; Peptostreptococcales; Peptostreptococcaceae.